Caenorhabditis elegans is the source of this 141-nucleotide non-coding RNA. NCBI's taxonomy places the organism in Eukaryota, Metazoa, Nematoda, Chromadorea, Rhabditida, Rhabditidae. The record is from Ensembl.
UCUUUUGAAGAAAUUGUGGAGAAUAAUCGGUUGAUUGGGGAGGGGAUGGUGGCACCGUGGAAAAAUGACUUAAAAGUGUGAAUGGCGCCGCCAACUACAUCCAAUUAUUUCCAAAUCAACGGCUUACGGAUUGAGUUAUGG